RNAcentral lists this long non-coding RNA (2170 nucleotides) under Ornithorhynchus anatinus (platypus). RNAcentral's name for it is "lncRNA (ENSOANG00000042440.1)". The record is from RNAcentral. Lineage: Eukaryota; Metazoa; Chordata; Mammalia; Monotremata; Ornithorhynchidae.
UUUGGAAUCAGCUGGGGAGGCCAUGGCUUUAGGGCCAAUAGGAUGUCACCUUCAGUAGGGGUGGAGCCAAGUUUUGGAACGAAAGAAAGGGUGUGUUUUCGUGGGAACUGGGAAGUUUUGAUCCCUGUCCUGAGAAAUUUCAGGCUUAUUUCAUUUCAUGUGCACCAACCCAUAGGAUCUCAUUCCUGCUGCCGCUCUCUUUGAGAUUGUUCCUGCCCUGCCCACAGUGCUUCCGGCCACCAUUUUCCAAGCUGAAUGCCGACAACCUAAUUUACGACAGUGCUUUGGGAACAAGUGUGCUGUUCAAAACCAAGGUUGAAAAUCAAGAGUUUUGGCUCGGCGAACGCUUCGUCUUAAGACCUGGAAUCUGCAAAUCUUCAGAAUAGGCUUUCUAGAAUCGCUCCUGAAAAACAGUACUGAGAAGAUAUGCAUUUUUGGAUCAUUUAUUUGGCCCAUCAUUAAUAAAAUGUACAUAAAGUCAAAAUGCAGUCCUGUUUAGCAAGAAGGAAUCUCUUCAAUCCCCAUAACUUUUUAUGUCAGAAUUCAGGAAAAAGAACAUAGGUUGCGAGUGAUGUAAAAGAUGUGAUGAGAGAAAAUCAGCACUAGUAUACAUCAUUAUAGCAAUUUUAACACGGGAAAACAAACCACUCCAGACAGUUGAUGAAUGGCUUCAAUUGCUUUUAUCUCAUUCAGCUCUGAUUUUAUUGAUGGUUGGCUGUGUGUAUCCCUUUAAUCCAAACUAAGGUUUAAUGGCCUUUCUCUCUCCUCUCCCUUUCAGGACUUUUAUAUUCUCCAGUGCUUUGAGGAUCUGACUGAUUUCCUAGCUGUAUUCUCAUUACUCCACUGAUAGUAUCAAGUGUUUCCUAAAUUCCCAAGCUGUAUCUGUUGACCCAGCUCUCUGUAAAUACUGACUUUAUUUCUGAUUGUAGGGUAUAUGUGGAGGGAAAGAGUCGGGGGUCAGGAGUCAGAGGAUCUGGGGUCUACUCCCAGUUCUGUCACAUGGUUUUGCUUUGCAUAAGGCCUAAUAUUUCCAUUUCGACCCUUUCCAACCAAACCACCUUGCGUCACCGAGGUCCCUUUUGAAACUAACUUUCAGUCACACCCUUCCCAUGAAGAAAGCAGGUAAUAGUACACCAAACUUCACAUAAAUAAUAGAUGGAAUGUAGAUUGCAUUUCUAAUUUGGUGGGAGGCAGAGAGCUGUCAAACAGGAGUCUGUGCAAUAAGAAAUGGACUGGAAUAACUAUCUGUACAUAGCGAUCUUGAUAGAAGUACUCAGUGCGGCAAAACUUUCUUUUAUGUUUGGCACACAGAGACAAAUUAGAUGCUUUAUCUGUCACAGUUGCCUAUUUGAUAUCUGAAUGAGUUAUAUAACUUAAAACAAAUAAAGGAAAGAUAGCACAUUCUCAAUAGUUAGAGAGUCCUAUUUUAUAUCAAAACUAAACAGAAAACCCAAAUGUUUUCACAUCUGGACGAGUGCACAUCUACCCAAAAGUUUCCAAGAAAGCUCUGAUUUAUGCAGCAUGGCCUAGUAGACAGAGCACGGGCCUGGGAUUCAGAAGAUCACGAGAGAAGCAGCGUGGCUUAGUGGAGAGCACGGGCCUGGUAGUCAAAGGUCAUGGGUUCUAAUCCCGGCUCUGUCCCCUUUCUGCUGUGUACCUCGGGCAAAUUGCUUCACCUCUCUGGGGCUCAGUUACUUCGUCUGUAAAAUGGGGAUUAUGACUCUACCCCCGAUUUGGGACAUUAACCGUGUCCAACCUAACUUGCUUGUAUUCUCCACCUCAGCAUCUAGCACAGAGUAAGCGCUUAAAAAAUACCACAAUUAUUAUUAUUUGCAAGUGUAAGUAUGAGUGUGUAUUUUCAGCGAUUCUGGCUUUGACAGUUCCCAAAAGAGUCAGUUGAAAGGUGUUGGGAGUGGACAAGCCGUGGUCCCUCUCCAUUAUUGGGCCCACAUAACGAAAGAUUCAUUCAUUCAAUCGUAUUUAUUGAAUGCUUACAGUGUGCAGAAAAGUUCAGUUAGGCAACAGGUAGUGACAAUCCCUACCCAACAAUGGGUCACAGACUACAAGUGGGGAGUUCACUUCCGUUGAAUGUGCCACAUGGAUAUAAGAAGUAAGAGCAUCGCUUGGCUAAGUAAACGGGAAUAACGGGUGCACACACCACGAGGAAUCC